UACGGAGGGAGCUAGCGUUGUUCGGAAUUACUGGGCGUAAAGCGCACGUAGGCGGCUAUUCAAGUCAGAGGUGAAAGCCCGGAGCUCAACUUCGGAACUGCCUUUGAAACUAGAUAGCUAGAAUCCUGGAGAGGUGAGUGGAAUUCCGAGUGUAGAGGUGAAAUUCGUAGAUAUUCGGAAGAACACCAGUGGCGAAGGCGGCUCACUGGACAGGUAUUGACGCUGAGGUGCGAAAGCGUGGGGAGCAAACAGG
Molecule: ribosomal RNA, 253 nt
Filed under: uncultured bacterium
Lineage: Bacteria
Description: partial 16S ribosomal RNA
Rfam family: Bacterial small subunit ribosomal RNA
Source: RNAcentral